UACGUAGGUGGCAAGCGUUGUCCGGAUUUACUGGGCGUAAAGGCUGCGUAGGCGGCUGUUUAAGUGAGAUGUGAAAUACCCGAGCUCAACUUGGGUGCUGCAUUUCAAACUGGAUAUCUAGAGUGCAGGAGAGGAAAGCGGAAUUCCUAGUGUAGCGGUGAAAUGCGUAGAGAUUAGGAAGAACACCAGUGGCGAAGGCGGCUUUCUGGACUGUAACUGACGCUGAGGCAUGAAAGCGUGGGGAGCAAACAGG
RNAcentral lists this ribosomal RNA (253 nucleotides) under uncultured bacterium. RNAcentral's name for it is "partial 16S ribosomal RNA". It matches the Rfam family "Bacterial small subunit ribosomal RNA", at positions 524 to 776 of the family's 1533-position model. The record is from RNAcentral.